This 1240-nucleotide long non-coding RNA is filed under the name Zostera marina. Its description in RNAcentral is "long non-coding RNA (ZMAR_LNC005079)". The record is from RNAcentral. Lineage: Eukaryota; Viridiplantae; Streptophyta; Magnoliopsida; Alismatales; Zosteraceae.
GGAAAUUAGGUAUGUAACCAUUUCAUAAUUCAUAUUAUUAUCAUUCAAAUAUAAGACACGAGAUGUUCCUCAUGUUCUGUGUACCAGCGUCUAGAAGUCCAUCCCACUUAUCCUACAAAGAACUGAUUGGAAAUAAAAUAAAAUCCAGAACGGAAAAAAAGAAGAAAAGAAAGAACACAUGAGGAUGAUUCAACUUACAGUAGGUACCGUGGAGAAAUAAGAUGCAAUAGAUAAAGCGUGAUGAUGAAUGAAGCUGAAAUAAUAAAGGUUUGAAUUCACAGCUUCCAACGGCGCCGCCUACACGAGCAUAUACUGCAACUGGUGGGAUGGUACGUGUUCAAUACUUAGCACUCCUUAUUAACUCUCUAACAAAAUAGUAGCUAACAACUGGGAUUGGGGAAGCUACCAACCAUCGACAAGCUCAUCAAAAGAGGAAUGGUGUUCCCAGAUGGAUGUGUGUUGUGCAGGUAAACGAUAGAAUCAAUCGAUAACGUAUUUUAUCAUUAUCAAUUCUCAACUUGGAUAUUAACCUAAUGAAUCAUUGAUUUGUCAUUGGCUAUCAUUGAUUUUGUCAUCUGGGUCCGUCAUCUGAUUUUAGUUUUCCAAAAAUUACAUCACCAUUUGUAUUAAAUAAAAACAAAAAUAGAAACACAAAUCUCGGAAAAAAAAAAUGAUUUGGACGUUCUGACGGACAACUGGCGUAAGUGAAUGGUUGAUCUGACAUCCAUUUGCUGGGGUGGACCCUAGGAUGUAACUCCGGCAAGUGAGUAGAACUGUAGAAGUGACGACGACCCAUGCACUGAUGAUUUUAUUAAAUCAAUCUUUAUAAAAUCCAAAUCCUAUCCUAAAUUCUGGAAUUAAUUUAGGCAUCUUACUUCUUCCAAUAAUUACUGUUGGUCUCCUCUGCAAUAGAAUUACUGUUUCCCUGGAAGAAGAAAAAUGAGCAAGGAGAUGAGAAGAGCUUCCGGCGAUCAUAAGAAGUGGAAGAAGAAUUUGAAAGUAAAGAGAAACAUCAAAGUCGUCCACAUCUCAAACCCUCUAAAGGUGACUCUCAGUGCCACCGAGUACAAAAAGCGCGUCCAACAACUUACCGGCCAAAAUUCCUACGUCGCCGAUAUCAUGUUCCGAGAAGCCAAAGAAGGCCGGAUAGUAAAUGAUCAACAAGAUGAUAAUCAUGACCACGUGACGGUGCCAUCUGCAGUUGCACCCAAUCCAUCGACUGACAAUCAUCAUCAACCCG